UCCUCUCAUCUCUGUUCUGAACCUUCCACACUGAAAACCCAGCUGCCUUCCUUUUAUCUGAAGAGUUGUUCAGAGGCUUAUCUAGCUUCAGUUGAUUUCCUGCUGCUCCAUUGGUUCUUGCUCUUGUUCUUGCUGCUGCUGCUUUUGCUCUUUGUGUGUUCAUGUGAGGAGAAGGAUUGGAAGAAGGGAAGUGAAGCAGAGAUUGGGAAGAGCAGGUUUGGUCAAGAAGGAAGAACAGAGUGGGAGUUUCAGGAGAAGCUGAGAGGACAACACUGA
This 276-nucleotide long non-coding RNA is filed under the name Oryza sativa Indica Group (long-grained rice). RNAcentral describes it as "lncRNA OsPr106_11g0008060". Lineage: Eukaryota; Viridiplantae; Streptophyta; Magnoliopsida; Poales; Poaceae. The record is from RNAcentral.